Astatotilapia calliptera (eastern happy) is the source of this 1252-nucleotide long non-coding RNA. NCBI's taxonomy places the organism in Eukaryota, Metazoa, Chordata, Actinopteri, Cichliformes, Cichlidae. The record is from Ensembl.
AUAGUAUUAAGAAGAAUCCUCAAUAAUCAGAAGAUGCCCAAUAUACAAGCACUUGGUGACAGUAGGAAGGAAAAACUCAAUUUUAACAGGAAGGAAAUUCAAGCAGAACCAGGCUCAGAGAGGAAAUCUACCACAAUUGGCUGGUGACAGAGAGGAGAGCAGAGAGACACUGGGGGAGAAAUGGCACACUAUGGGAUAGACAGAGUUUAAUGAUUACUAUUAGUUAAAUGGAUAAUAUGUCAAACUCUGAACACUGAUUUGCAAAUUAUGGAAUUUUUAGUAAAGAGGUAGGAAUAAGUAAGUGUAAACUUCAUUCUACUCCUUUGAGUAUAGACGUAUGGAUGUAGAGAUAUUCAUGAUAACUUCACGUCUUUGUGUGUUUGCAAAGUUUUUCUUUUUCUUGUUAUUUUAGCUAUAUUUACAUAUUAGAAAUAAACACUGUUUUAUUCUACUCUAAUAGUGGCAUAUAAACAGAGAGGGUGAAUGAAGUGAAUAUGUUAAGCUAAAACAGCAUAACCUUUUCUUGAAAAUGAACAGUUUUUGCACAAAUCUGAACUCAAAUCUCUUCUUAAAUCUAGUUUCUUUCAGUUUGGCUUUUUUUUUUUUUAGUUCUUUUGUUUUUUUCCCCGCAGUUUCCAAGAAGAGCACUCGGAAAGGCUGCUCCGUUUGUGCCACAAGUUCAUUCAAGAUUCUUUAUUUGUCACAUGCAUAGUUUUACUAGAGUUUACUAGACUUUAGAGUACGACGUGCACUGAAACGGUCCUCUACUACUGUGCAUAAACAGGAUAUUAUAUACAGUAAAUAGUUAAUUAUAAACAUUAAGUAUAUUAAAUAAAACAAUCUGGAAAUUUUACAUUUAAAGUCUGAAAAUGUACAUUGUGCCAGUGGAAUGUUAAAGUGUCUCGUGCAUACAUUACAACGUUCACGUUCCAUGCAGUAACGCCAACACUUGGACUCCGCCCCCGGGCCUCGUGCUCAGUUUGAGUGUUCUUGAGUUAAAAGUGGCAAGUAUGGCACGGAUGUAAACAAGGUCACGGCCUUGACCCUUACAAAGCGGGACUUCCUGUAGUAUAAAAGUGAGCUUUGCUUUCUUGCACUUGAUCUGAGAGAUCGGGUGCAGGUAGGUAACUGAUUUGCUUUUUUAAAGCCACCAUUAAAUUCGCCAUUUUGUGGUGCGCGUGCCCUGUAUUCCUCCCUCGUUUCUUCUUGUCUGCCAGUUAGAGUUAGCUGGCAUGCUAGCAAUGGAUAGCAU